GUUAAGCGACUAAGCGUACACGGUGGAUGCCCUGGCAGUCAGAGGCGAUGAAGGGCGUGCUAAUCUGCGAUAAGCGCCGGUAAGGUGAUAUGAACCGUUAUAACCGGCGAUACCCGAAUGGGGAAACCCAGUGUGAUUCGUCACACUAUCAUUAACUGAAUCCAUAGGUUAAUGAGGCGAACCGGGGGAACUGAAACAUCUAAGUACCCCGAGGAAAAGAAAUCAACCGAGAUUCCCCCAGUAGCGGCGAGCGAACGGGGAGGAGCCCAGAGCCUGAAUCAGCAUGUGUG
Molecule: ribosomal RNA, 290 nt
Filed under: Salmonella enterica subsp. enterica serovar Anatum
Lineage: Bacteria; Pseudomonadati; Pseudomonadota; Gammaproteobacteria; Enterobacterales; Enterobacteriaceae
Also listed under: 2 other names
Description: partial 23S ribosomal RNA
Rfam family: Bacterial large subunit ribosomal RNA
Source: RNAcentral